This 560-nucleotide long non-coding RNA is filed under the name Cicer arietinum (chickpea). RNAcentral describes it as "long non-coding RNA (CARI_LNC001895)". The record is from RNAcentral. Lineage: Eukaryota; Viridiplantae; Streptophyta; Magnoliopsida; Fabales; Fabaceae.
GAUAGGCGAAUCAAAAUCGGAUAGGUGUUAGCCACCAAGAUGAAGCCUUCACACCCCUUUCUUAAUCGAAAUUAAACCCAUCCUUGUUUAUCCUCAACUUCCACCACCAGUUACAUAAAAGACCAAGGUUGAACUCCUUCACUCGAUGAACCCCUAACUCCCUCUAUUCCGAUCCAAACAAACCUUCUCCCAAUUAAUCCGGUCAAUAUUACUACUAACGAAAUCCAAUGAAUCCAAAGAGAGGGUGUUUCUAUUUAUCUGUCAACCGCCUCCGUUUCUAUUUGCUAAGUAAAUCAAAAUUUAACAACCUGAAAUUCUUUAUUGUCAAUCCUCUAUAAACUCUUUCGGAGAUACACCUUAUCCCAACUUAAUUUAUUUUAUUUCGGUCCUCUCUCCCACUCCAAUGGAAUUGUAUUUGCAAUUGAGUAAUUUCUUUCGAAUCUUUGUUAGGGACCUUAUAAAAAAGAUAGCAAAUGUAUCUAUAAUAUAUGUAUCUAUAAUUGGUUAUAAAUGACAUAAUAUUAUUGUUGGUUUAGUGGUUGUGUUCAUUAUGUGGUAAC